Molecule: small RNA, 52 nt
Filed under: Sphingobium xanthum
Lineage: Bacteria; Pseudomonadati; Pseudomonadota; Alphaproteobacteria; Sphingomonadales; Sphingobiaceae
Also listed under: 14 other names
Description: ffh sRNA
Rfam family: ffh sRNA
Source: RNAcentral
CUGUCCAAGGAUAGACGCUGGUCGGCGAGGUUUCGCCCACCGGCGCUUUGUG